Molecule: ribosomal RNA, 1061 nt
Filed under: Salmonella enterica
Lineage: Bacteria; Pseudomonadati; Pseudomonadota; Gammaproteobacteria; Enterobacterales; Enterobacteriaceae
Description: partial 23S ribosomal RNA
Rfam family: Bacterial large subunit ribosomal RNA
Source: RNAcentral
GGCUAAACCAUGCACCGAAGCUGCGGCAGCGAACGUAUCACUUAAAGCGAUUCAGCGGGUUACGAUUGACGGAGCGAAGCGACGUCAAAGCGUAUACAAAGUCGAGUCGGUUUAAGGAUACGUUCGUUGGGUAGGGGAGCGUUCUGUAAGCCUGUGAAGGUGGCCUGUGAGGGUUGCUGGAGGUAUCAGAAGUGCGAAUGCUGACAUAAGUAACGAUAAAGCGGGUGAAAAGCCCGCUCGCCGGAAGACCAAGGGUUCCUGUCCAACGUUAAUCGGGGCAGGGUGAGUCGACCCCUAAGGCGAGGCCGAAAGGCGUAGUCGAUGGGAAACGGGUUAAUAUUCCCGUACUUGGUGUUACUGCGAAGGGGGGACGGAGAAGGCUAUGUUGGCCGGGCGACGGUUGUCCCGGUUUAAGCGUGUAGGUGUGUGUUCCAGGUAAAUCCGGUUCACUUUAACACUGAGGCGUGAUGACGAGGCACUACGGUGCUGAAGCAACAAAUGCCCUGCUUCCAGGAAAAGCCUCUAAGCAUCAGGUAACAUCAAAUCGUACCCCAAACCGACACAGGUGGUCAGGUAGAGAAUACCAAGGCGCUUGAGAGAACUCGGGUGAAGGAACUAGGCAAAAUGGUGCCGUAACUUCGGGAGAAGGCACGCUGACACGUAGGUGAAGUGAUUUACUCACGGAGCUGAAGUCAGUCGAAGAUACCAGCUGGCUGCAACUGUUUAUUAAAAACACAGCACUGUGCAAACACGAAAGUGGACGUAUACGGUGUGACGCCUGCCCGGUGCCGGAAGGUUAAUUGAUGGGGUCAGCGCAAGCGAAGCUCCUGAUCGAAGCCCCGGUAAACGGCGGCCGUAACUAUAACGGUCCUAAGGUAGCGAAAUUCCUUGUCGGGUAAGUUCCGACCUGCACGAAUGGCGUAAUGAUGGCCAGGCUGUCUCCACCCGAGACUCAGUGAAAUUGAACUCGCUGUGAAGAUGCAGUGUACCCGCGGCAAGACGGAAAGACCCCGUGAACCUUUACUAUAGCUUGACACUGAACAUUGAGCCUUGAUGUGUAG